This is an RNA transcript of Zea mays, 1183 nucleotides long. It is a transcript of the gene named nudix hydrolase pseudogene, with no coding region annotated. NCBI's taxonomy places the organism in Eukaryota, Viridiplantae, Streptophyta, Magnoliopsida, Poales, Poaceae. The transcript has 6 exons. The record is from RefSeq and is marked validated.
CGCUGUAAAGCCCCUGUUCCUCGUCCUCGUCCACCACAGCCGCCCCGCGCCCCGCCUCCCCCGCCGAACCGCCCGCGCCCGGCCGCUGCGCUUCCUCUCCUGCUCGACCUCAGCGCCGCCGCUGUUCGCAGCCGUCGCAUCCAUGGACUCGCCGCCCCAGGGUUACCGCACCAACGUCGGCAUCUGCCUCGCCGACCCAUCCCUCACCAAGAUUUUCUCGGCUUCUAGGAUCGACAUUCCUAGCGCGUGGCAGAUGCCUCAGGGUGGUAUAGAUGCAGGGGAAGAACCAAGGGCGGCUGCCUUCAGGGAAUUGAGAGAAGAGACUGGUGUCACAUCCGCAGAGAUCGUGGCUGAGGCUCCCGUCUGGUUAACAUAUGAUUUCCCGCCAGAUGUCAGAACCAAACUGAAUGCCAGGUGGGGAACCGAUUGGAAAGGCCAAGCUCAAAAAUGGUUUUUAUUUAGGCUUACUGGAAAUGACGAUGAGAUUAACCUUAAUGGUGAUGGAUCUGAGAAGCCAGAGUUUGGUGAAUGGACAUGGAUGACACCCAAGGAAGUUAUCGAAAAGGCAGUUGAUUUCAAGAAACCUGUAUAUGAGGAAGCAUUGAAACACUUUGCCCCCUACCUGCAGUCAGAUCCAGCCGCUUCAUCAUAGAAGAUUUGGCCAAUUUGCUUGCAUCCCUGCUGUAUCUGGACCCCCAAUAAUUUGACACGACGCAAUGUAGCCAUGAGGUGUGCUAUACAAUUUGAUAGUGUGUGGCCUGUUUGAGUGAAUUAUAUAUGCCAGCAUUGGAUCCUCGCCCUCUACUUAGUCACAUAAGUAUACAAUAAGUGGUGGAAACAGUUUCAGCCAAUCUGGAACAUGGUGGCCAGUGUAUCUUGUCUGCCAAUGACUGAAUGCUUUAGGUUGAAGCAAUACCAUAAUUCCAGAGAGACUGCGGUACAGCAACCUCAGGUUAUGUGGGGGGUCGUCGGCAAAACGACGCUCGUUUGGCAUUGGCUACGGCAGAAACUAGUGUCUGGCUGCCAUUGGUUGUGGGAGGAGCAGAGGAAAACAAAUUGUUGGUUACACUCUGUACUACUGCGUCAUGAUAUUGUCGGCUUUCGCUUUGUGGCUUUUGGAGGAAAACUGGAGAUGUGGCAGCUUUGGCUUUACGCAUCUUGGAGGAACAGGAGAUAUAAACAC